GUGAACUCGGAGCACGAGAAGCAGUGAGACCAAUCACAUUUAUGUCUCAGAAGGAUGAAGUGAUGUUUCUAUAGUAACAAAGACAAAAUCAUCUUGAAUGUCUUGACAGGUGUGUGAUAGUUCAGUUCCUCAGUAUGUACGCAAAGGGAAAAGGUUCAGCGGUUCCUUCCGAUAGCCAAGCCCGGGAAAAGUUAGCCCUUUAUGUUUAUGAAUAUUUACUACACGUAGGAGCUCAGAAAGCAGCACAGACAUUUCUGUCAGAAAUAAGAUGGGAGAAAAAUAUAACACUAGGAGAACCACCAGGAUUUCUACAUUCAUGGUGGUG
Molecule: long non-coding RNA, 325 nt
Organism: Limulus polyphemus (Atlantic horseshoe crab)
Lineage: Eukaryota; Metazoa; Arthropoda; Merostomata; Xiphosura; Limulidae
Exons: 3
Source: RefSeq, a predicted model, not a curated record